Molecule: long non-coding RNA, 2406 nt
Organism: Scleropages formosus (Asian bonytongue)
Lineage: Eukaryota; Metazoa; Chordata; Actinopteri; Osteoglossiformes; Osteoglossidae
Exons: 3
Source: RefSeq, a predicted model, not a curated record
AUUUAAAAAAAAGAAAAAAAAACCUAUUAUACACUGUGUAGCAUUGGUUAGAGUGCUUUAUUAUAUUUUUUGCCAGAAGAAGGGAACAAACCAUAUUAGAAGUAUUGAGGUUGUUUUCUGUUUGGAUGCUGAUUAAUACUUUUCUGUGGUUACUUAUACUAGAACAGAUAGUUCAGGAGAACCCUGCCUAAUUUCAGGUGACUGUCAAACACGUGAUAUUGUGUAUAAAAAUGUAAUUUAGUGAAAACAUUAGUCUUUAUACUUUAUCAAGGAUUGCAAUACUUCACAACAUGAAUCUGUACUAAUAUGUAAAUGUUUUCCUUUUCUGCACCUCUGCGAUGUGUAUUGACGAUUCUUGUGUAAGAAGUCUGUAGUGUGGAUUUGUGGAUUGUAUGUGUUGGUGUGACCUUUGCUCGCAUUGUUGAAAGUGAGAUCAGCUCUUAUAUUUCCUUUUUCAUUUACCAUUCUUUCGGUGUAAUUGUAAACCUUUGUUCUGUCUAGAGAAUUAUUUAAUUUAUCAAGCUCAUGUUUAUCUCUAUGGCAAUAUAACACCUAGUAUCACUCAGAAUUAAAAUACUUUUUAAUUAUUUGCAAACCUAAAGAUUUAUAUUCAGUAAAACGUGCAUAAAAUGUUCUGUGACAAUGUAUAGUACACAAGCUAUGAGGCAAAUAAAAAUUUAUACAGUUCUGUAAAAGCUUUUUUAAAACACCCAUUAAAUUUUAGAGAACUUUAAAUGGAUUGAGAUUGGUAUAUUGGUGAUAUAAAUAGUGAUGGAUUAGGGCCGAAAUCAGUUUUGAGUUAGGGUGUGGUAAUUUUACAGGGGCCCUAAUUUUGAAGGGUGUCUGUAAUGCAGUGGUUGUGUACAUGUAAUUAACUUAAAAAAUAGCCUAUUAGUGCAUGUUCACUUGUUAUCUUAGGCCACUUCACAAAUAAAUGUUUUCAUUUUGUCUCUUGCUUUGCAAUAAUCCUCCCUGAAAACGGCCCUGGUGUUCUCUCCAUUUUUCCCAGCACUAGGGACAUUGGUGCAUUGGCACAUACCUUACUUAAAAUCACUAAUCCCUGAUGUCUACAUUAUAUGUGUAUAGAAUAAUAUAAGAAAACGUACAAAGGGGUAUUUUGGCAGCGGUUUAGUGCGUCUUAUUUUCUUGUUCAACAUGUUGAAACAUACUCCAGUUAAGAUGGAAACUAAAGGGUGAUUGGCGAGAGUCGCUGAACUGGCACGGUAUGUCACAUGAUUCCACUCCCCGCAAAGUGUGAUGGGUUUUGUAGUUAGAGGGGAUGUGUUGGACUACGAGGUGUUCGUUGGUUUCUACAGAUGGCCGAAGCCUGGCGACCGCGUGGAGGCAGUCCUCACUUUACCCAUAAUGCUUUGCCGUUUGUUAUAAAAAAGGAAAGCGCGGGACAGGAUAUUCUUUCUGACGUGGUGCUAUGGCAGUAGGUGGUAGGAACUAAGUUCAGUUUAUUUAAAUAAAUACGUGAAUAAAGAAAUGCUGAUUUUUUUUUUUUUUUUUGCCGAGACCCGAGAAAAUGGAAACGCCUUCUUAUUCUGGCGUUUGAUAAAAUGGGGUUGAGUUCUUAAAACACAAGUGUUCUGUUUGACUGGAGCUGAACCAUGAGCAAAGGUUUGUGCAACAGAUGCGUAUGGGAACCGAAGUGGAUGCUGUAGCAUGUUCCUCUGAGCCAGCUGAAUUCACCUUAGGUUUCUGUAUUUAGAGUAAUUUCACAAGCAGUUUUGUAAGCCGGAGGCGAGUUGUGUUCUUGUAAAUAAAGUACAGUAUUAAAUGAUGCAGUAUGUUAAAUGUUUAUAUAUUGUGUGUGUUGGAAUUGUGACUGACUUGAAUGUACCAUUGUUACCAAAACAUUUUCUCCUUUUCUAAAGAGAUGUAUGGAGCAACAAGCACCCAGAGUGUACACUCAUGCUAGGGAUUCAAAGAAAUGUUUGAAAUCGUGCCUCCUGAAUAUAGGCCUAACCUGUAACUCCAUGGGCAGGGGUCAGAUUAAGCACUGCAAGGUCACAUGGCUGUCUUUAGUAGAUUUUUUUUUUAAAAAAUGUUGUCUACAGAUAAGCAUUUCCUACUACCACCAAUGAGCCUCCUGCACCUUUGUACUGGCAUUUUCCUCACUGUUCCUGUCCAAACCGCUGCAGUUUCCCCACGUUUGAAGGGUGCCUUCUCCCAACUACUGUUUUAAAAUCUCAUAAAUUUUCUAUGGGAUUUCCAUUUGGACUCAUUGUUGGAAACUUUACCAACAUAUUUGAUUAAGACUAUAAAAAUCCGAGUUCAUUUUUGUGCCAGUAUCAGUGAUGUCAGGGCAAAGACUUGUUCUUUGAGAAACUGACAGUGUUCCCUAAAUCUGUCGUGGCACGGUGGCACAGGGAGUAGUGCUGCUGUCUCACGUAGGUUCGA